UAAUAAGUGUUUUAUGGCACUUUUUAAAUCCAUAUCCACCUUGUGUGCAAUGUCAGUCGAUCUUCUUCAUGGAGAUCCGACCAAACAUCAACCUUUAUCUUUUAACUCUUUGUCUGAAAAAUAUUAUGAAUAAACAAUUCAAAAUA
This 146-nucleotide unclassified non-coding RNA is filed under the name soil metagenome. RNAcentral's name for it is "partial internal transcribed spacer 1". The record is from RNAcentral.